Oncorhynchus keta (chum salmon) is the source of this 1469-nucleotide long non-coding RNA. RefSeq lists it as uncharacterized. The transcript has 6 exons. The record is from RefSeq and is a predicted model, not a curated record. NCBI's taxonomy places the organism in Eukaryota, Metazoa, Chordata, Actinopteri, Salmoniformes, Salmonidae.
UGACGGACCGAUGAGGACUUGACAAAAUGGCUGCCUCCUGAUCUGUCUGUGGAUGUGUGGCUCCAGGAGAGUCCCGAAGACAGCUGAAUGGAUCCAUCUAUACAAAACAACCUUCGCUGACCUUUGUUCAUCUGCCUAUAUUUGUUGGAUUUAAAGCUGAUUUAAAAAAAUUUUUUUUUACUGUUCCCAUUUAUUUGUACUUUAAAAAUGAAAAGCUUUAUUAACACAUGUAAAAGGACUAGACCCAUGUUUCAGUUGUCUAGCCCCGCCCCUCUAAUACACUGGUAGAAUUAGGUUGUGUCUAGCCCCGCCCCUCUCAUAAACUGGUGAAAUUAGGUUGUGUCUAGCCCUGCCCCUCUAAUAAACUGGUAGAAUUAGGUUGUGUCUAGCCCCGCCCCUCUAAUAAACUGGUGAAAUUAGGUUGUUGUAUCUAGCCCCGCCCCUCUAAUAAACUGGUAGAAUUAGGUUGCAUCUAGCCCUGCCCCUCUAAUAAACUGGUAGAAUUAGGUUGUGUCUAGCCCCGCCCCUCUAAUAAACUGGUGAAAUUAGGUUGUGUCUAGCCCUGCCCCUCUAAUAAACUGGUAGAAUUAGGUUGUGUCUAGCCCCGCCCCUCUAAUAAACUGGUGAAAUUAGGUUGUGUCUAGCCCCGCCCCUCUAAUAAACUGGUGAAAUUAGGUUGCAUCUAGCCCUGCCCCUCUAAUAAACUGGUAGAAUUAGGUUGCAUCUAGCCCUGCCCCUCUAAUAAACUGGUGAAAUUAGGUUGCAUCUAGCCCUGCCCCUCUAAUAAACUGGUAGAAUUAGGUUGUGUCUAGCCCCGCCCCUCUAAUAAACUGGUGAAAUUAGGUUGUUGUAUCUAGCCCCGCCCCUCUCAUAAACUGGUGAAAUUAGGUUGCAUCUAGCCCUGCCCCUCUAAUAAACUGGUGAAAUUAGGUUAUUGUAUCUAGCCCCCGCCCCUCUUAUUGCAUCACUCUUCUCAGACCAAUUGAAAAGGAAUACGUUUUUUUCUGUAAUGACAUGACUAUUGAUUUGUCUAAAGAGUCGAAUAAAGACUAAAGACAAAAAUCAAAUUUGUUGCGGUAAUGCAUUUUCCAAUAAUCAAUAAAGACAUGUUAAUGACCAGAGAUCCUGCUCCAGCAGGUGAAUUGAUGUCAGAGCGGAGAAUUACGGUUUCCACGUCCCUCCUCCUGUGAUGAGAUGCAGUACUAUGGGACCCACUACUUCACAUGGGUCGCUCACCAGCAGUUGACAGAGCAUAAAGACAGGAAACUCUCAGGACCCUGUUUCUCUGUUUCUCUCUCUCUGUUUCUCUGUUUCUCUCUCUCUCUGUUUCUCUCUCUCUCUCUGUCUCUCUCUCUCUCUCUGUUUCUCUCUCUCUCUCUGUUUCUCUCUCUCUCUCUGUUUCUCUCUCUCUCUCUGUUUCUCUCUCUCUCUGUUUCUCUCUCUCUCUGUUUCUCUCUCUCUCUCUCUCU